GAUGAACGCUGGCGGCGUGCCUAAUACAUGCAAGUCGAGCGAACGGACGAGAAGCUUGCUUCUCUGAUGUUAGCGGCGGACGGGUGAGUAACACGUGGAUAACCUACCUAUAAGACUGGGAUAACUUCGGGAAACCGGAGCUAAUACCGGAUAAUAUUUUGAACCGCAUGGUUCAAUAGUGAAAGACGGUCUUGCUGUCACUUAUAGAUGGAUCCGCGCUGCAUUAGCUAGUUGGUAAGGUAACGGCUUACCAAGGCAACGAUGCAUAGCCGACCUGAGAGGGGGAUCGGCCACCCUGGAACUGAGACCCGGUCCAGACCCCGAGGGAAGGCAGAGGAGGGGAAUCUGCGGCAAUGGGCGAAAGCUGGACGGAGCACCGCGGCUGGGGGGAGGAAGGGCUUCGGAUCGUAAAACUCUGUUAUUAGGGAAGAAAAUUUGUGAAAGUAACUGGGCACAUCUUAACGGUACCUAACCAGAAGGCAACGGCAAACUACUU
RNAcentral lists this ribosomal RNA (496 nucleotides) under uncultured bacterium. Its description in RNAcentral is "partial 16S ribosomal RNA". It matches the Rfam family "Bacterial small subunit ribosomal RNA", at positions 28 to 506 of the family's 1533-position model. The record is from RNAcentral.